RNAcentral lists this long non-coding RNA (2537 nucleotides) under Mus musculus (house mouse). Its description in RNAcentral is "long non-coding RNA chr12:16944281-16946818". The record is from RNAcentral. Lineage: Eukaryota; Metazoa; Chordata; Mammalia; Rodentia; Muridae.
GUGCUCUUUAACUGCUGAGCCAUCUCACUAGCCCCAUGCCAUCAGUUUUAAUAUCUGAUGUUUCUUCUUAUAUUUAUUUCUGAAAAAUUCUAUUUUCCUCAAAAGUGUACGUUUAAAAAAUGAAAAUGGGCCAGGCGUGGUAGCACACGCCUUUAAUCCCAGCACUCAGGAGGCAGAGGCAGAGGCAGGUGGAUUUCUGAGUUCGAGGCCAGCCUGGUCUACAAAGUGAGUUCCAGGACAGCCAGAGCUAUACAGAGAAACCCUGUCUCGAAAAACCAAAAAAAAAAAAAAAAAAAAAAAAAAGAAGAAGAAGAAAGAAAAAGAAAAUGGUAAUACUUGCUGUAUUUUGUAUUUUCAGCUUCGUCCAGUAUAUUAUAUAGCUUCAGCCAGUGGGAUGAUCAGUGUAGGUAAAGGCACUUGCCACCAAGUCCCUUCUUGGGACUCACAUGGAGAGAGGACAAAACCAACGCUUGCAAGUUAUGCUUGUGUGCCCCUCAUCAAUGAAUCAAUCAAUCAAUAAUAGAGAUAAAGAAACCUUUGUACUUAGAAUAAAAAUAAUCAGUACCCAAGGGAAUAAUAACUAAGGGAAUCCAGCUAGGCAGGUUUGUGCAGUUAGGGGCAGAUGAAAGUGUGAGUUCCAUUUAAAUUUUUGUUUUCAACAUUUGUAAGAGGCAUUUUGAAUUGUUUAUAAGACAAAACACAAGACUUCUGAUUGAUCCAUUUUUAAGUUUUCAGUAAACUCUCUUGGUCUAUAUUUUGUCAAUGACAAAUCAUCAAAUUUAUUUAGAAAACAUUGAACUUAUUACAUUUUAAGUGAUUUUUUUGGUUGUAUGUGUGGCAUAUGCAUGUGUGUGCAGGUAUACUUGCCUAUGAAUGCAUGAGCAAAAGCUGGCAGUGGAUGUUAAAUAUCUUCUAUCUCCACCAUUUCAUUUUAUUUAGAUUGUAUGUGCUUGAAUAUGUACGUGCAUGCAUGCGUGUGUGUGUGUGUGUGUGUGUGUGUAUACCUGUGCACCUCCAGGAGGAACCCAGUGGAGGAGGUCAGAUGUCUUCUAUCACUUGCUACCUUAUUAACUUGAGACAGAGUCUCUCACUGAGCCACAACUAGUCAUUUAGAUUGGCUGACCAGUGAUUCCCCCAGGACCUGCCUCUUCCUUGCCACAUCCCCCUGUGCUGAGAUUACAAGCAUAUACAACCAUAUCUGGCUUUUUAUUUGAGUGUUUAGGAUUUGAACUCAGGUUCAAAUCAUAUGCUAUCAUUAUGCUUGUACUUCUAGUUACUGAGCCAUCUCCCUAGCCAUCUGUCUUUUAUUUUUAAAGCAAAGUCUCUCACUAUACCUGGAGCUCACUUGUUUAGCAAGACUGACUGGCCAGUAAAUCUCUGGGCUUUGCCUGUCCCAAACACUGCGUUUUCGCCCUUCAGCCUGGCUUUUUAAAUUGGUUGCUAGGAACUGAAAUUCAGGUUCUCACUGGUGCACACCAACUACUUUUACCCAUCUCUCCAGUCCCCAGUGAAAGUAAUUCUGAGUAAACUUUGGAAAUGAAUGCCUAGUCAUUGUGUUUUCCAGCACAAACGCAUAUGAAGCCUCUUAAAAUACGACUCUUGGUGCCGUCAUGUGACAGUACCUCAUAGCUCUAAAGUUGCUUUGAUUUGUCAUAUAAUUCUUUCAUAAUGUGUUACUUAACUUUAUGAAGUUUCCAUACAUUGGCUCCAUAUCCCUUAGUUUAUUGACUUUCAUUUUAAUACUACAGAAUAUUAUUAUAAACUUGCCUUUUUCCCCUUUACCCCUACUCCAAGAAGCUCUGAUUUCUUUGAUUAGAAAUGGUACUUAGUAGUAUCUGUAUGAUUGCUAGAUAUGCUCAUUGCUCCUAAUGUAUCAUGAUUUUCAGGCUCAGUCAAUGGAUAGAGCUAGGAGGCAUGGACUAUAACACCCAGUAUUCAGCCACAUGCCCUGAUGCUUACAUUUGAGUCUCUGUUUCUGUAGAUGAUAUGUCAAGUGCUACUACUUAUCACUGAUAUAUCUGGUUGAAGUCUAACACCAUAGGGUCCAGUCUAGUCUUUCUCUUCUCUUCUUGUAAUUUCUUUCAAAGGCUAAAAAAAACCCCAAGCAACACCCUCUGGUUUGUAUUAGCUAAUUAUAGCUUUUUUUAAAAAAAGCUUGUUUAACCCUAGUGUAUGUUUAAAAUUGUUUCAUAAUUGUUGUCCUCACUACUGUGAUAAAUAGAUUGCUUUUUGAUUUGAAGAUGUCCUGAUAAAAUAGCUAGUUUUUCCAAAGCUCCUUGGAUUAUUUUUUUUCUUGCCUUUCAUCGUGGUUAUAUUACUCAUGAAAAAAAAAAGUCCACCUUUCACUUUUUUAUAUGUGGAGCUUCCUCUGGUUUUAUGAGGAUUUUUUUCUACCUUUUUUUGUCUCUUCUGGCUUUUAACAGAACUGUAAAGUACAGGGUAGUCGUUGAUGGAUGGUAAUUGUAGGAGCUGAGCACUCCCUUCCUUGUAGUGCAGUAUUUGUCUAGACUUCUGAAAACCCUGGGUUCAGUUUCAAC